UUGUUAUAAGAAAGAUGAGACAGUUAAUACUCCCCUUUAGAGUGAAUGGGAAAGGUCCUACCUAGUGCCUUUAUAACAACAUUAGGUUAGGGCAUUGCCACACAUUCUGUGGCAUUUAACCAUGUUUU
Monodelphis domestica (gray short-tailed opossum) is the source of this 128-nucleotide small nuclear RNA. NCBI's taxonomy places the organism in Eukaryota, Metazoa, Chordata, Mammalia, Didelphimorphia, Didelphidae. The record is from Ensembl.